AGAGUUUGAUCAUGGCUCAGAAUCAACGCUGGCGGCGUGCCUGACACAUGCAAGUCGAACGAGAAAGUGGAGCAAUCCAUGAGUACAGUGGCGACCGGGUGAGUAACACGUGACUAACCUACCCUCGAGUGGGGAAUAACUCCGGGAAACCGGAGCUAAUACCGCAUAACAUCGCAAGAUCAAAGCAGCAAUGCGCUUGAGGAGGGGGUCGCGGCUGAUUAGCUAGUUGGCGGGGUAACGGCCCACCAAGGCGAAGAUCGGUAUCCGGCCUGAGAGGGCGCACGGACACACUGGAACUGAAACACGGUCCAGACUCCUACGGGAGGCAGCAGUGGGGAAUUUUGCGCAAUGGGGGAAACCCUGACGCAGCAACGCCGCGUGGGGGAUGAAGUCCCUUGGGAUGUAAACUCCUUUCGACCGGGAAGAUACUGACGGUACCGGAAGAAGAAGCACCGGCUAACUCUGUGCCAGCAGCCGCGGUAAUACAGAGGGUGCGAGCGUUGUUCGGAAUUAUUGGGCGUAAAGGGCGCGUAGGCGGUGCGGUAAGUCACCUGUGAAAUCUCCUGGCUCAACUGGGAGUCUGCAGGCGAAACUGCCGUGCUGGAGUAUGGGAGAGGUGCGUGGAAUUCCCGGUGUAGCGGUGAAAUGCGUAGAUAUCGGGGAGGAACACCUGUGGCGAAAGCGGCGCACUGGACCAUAACUGACGCUGAGGCGCGAAAGCUAGGGGAGCAAACAGGAUUAGAUACCCUUGUAGUCC
RNAcentral lists this ribosomal RNA (757 nucleotides) under uncultured bacterium. RNAcentral describes it as "bacterial SSU rRNA". It matches the Rfam family "Bacterial small subunit ribosomal RNA", at positions 8 to 796 of the family's 1533-position model. The record is from RNAcentral.